This 76-nucleotide transfer RNA is filed under the name bacterium. Its description in RNAcentral is "tRNA-Ala". It matches the Rfam family "tRNA". Rfam says of the family: Transfer RNA (tRNA) molecules are approximately 80 nucleotides in length. Their secondary structure includes four short double-helical elements and three loops (D, anti-codon, and T loops). RNAcentral also lists the same sequence under 8 other names. The record is from RNAcentral.
GGGGCCGUAGCUCAGUUGGGAGAGCGCGACGUUCGCAAUGUCGAGGUCAGGGGUUCGAUCCCCCUCGGCUCCACCA